ACGAACGCUGGCGGCGUGCUUAACACAUGCAAGUCGAACGGAAAGGCCCUGCUUUUGUGGGGUGCUCGAGUGGCGAACGGGUGAGUAACACGUGAGUAACCUGCCCUUGACUUUGGGAUAACUUCAGGAAACUGGGGCUAAUACCGGAUAGGAGCUCCUGCUGCAUGGUGGGGGUUGGAAAGUUUCGGCGGUUGGGGAUGGACUCGCGGCUUAUCAGCUUGUUGGUGGGGUAGUGGCUUACCAAGGCUUUGACGGGUAGCCGGCCUGAGAGGGUGACCGGCCAAAUGGGACUGAGAUACGGCCCAGACUCCUACGGGAGGCAGCAGUGGGGAAUAUUGCACAAUGGGCGGAAGCCUGAUGCAGCAACGCCGCGUGCGGGAUGACGGCCUUCGGGUUGUAAACCGCUUUCGCCUGUGACGAAGCGUGAGUGACGGUAAUGGGUAAAGAAGCACCGGCUAACUACGUG
Molecule: ribosomal RNA, 466 nt
Filed under: uncultured bacterium
Lineage: Bacteria
Description: partial 16S ribosomal RNA
Rfam family: Bacterial small subunit ribosomal RNA
Source: RNAcentral